Long non-coding RNA from Haplochromis burtoni (Burton's mouthbrooder), 1412 nucleotides. RefSeq lists it as uncharacterized. The transcript has 5 exons. The record is from RefSeq and is a predicted model, not a curated record. Lineage: Eukaryota; Metazoa; Chordata; Actinopteri; Cichliformes; Cichlidae.
AGCUUCUUCAUCCACAGAUUUCUCUCCUCCUUGGUGUCAGCACUCAGCCAAUUUCUGCACAGGAAAACAAGCAGAGUAUGUUGACUGUCAUCAAGCCACUCUUCAGGAUAGGAGAUGCAGUAUCCUGACAGGACGCACCAUCGUCUGUGCCAAGCUCCAAACCCACUAACAUCUUCAAACAUCGUCUGUGAUUUCCCGUUUCUGCACCUGAAAGGGAACAGCACUGUGCAGCAUCAGUAACACUGCAAAACAGAAACUUACAGAAGACUAUGAACAGACGGUGUCACAGAAAUACAGCGUUAGUACUUGCAGAACGAGGACACGUACCAGACAGUAUACUUCUAGACUGAUGUCAAAGCCACUGUCAACGUCAGAUCUGAAAGUCAAAGAUUCUCCUCAGCAAUCAGUAAAUAAAUUAUGUUUAGUUAAUAGUGUUUAACAACAGAGGCGACGUGCUGAAAUGAUGAGUGACCACAGCGGUGUGACUGAAGGCCAACAGUGGCUCCACUAACUGCUUCUGACUCACAUAGUGAACUUGGUGGGGAAGGUGAGGGUGUCGCCACUCAGGCCACGGUGUGUCGUGGCUAAAGGCGUGGCCACAAUGUUCUCUGCUCCCGCCCUGAUCAUGAUGAAAAAUGAAUGUUUGGUAGACUCUGAAAUAAUGGAAACAAACAGCAUGACAACAUUAGUAUGAAAUUGUGGGAUUUCACUCUGACUGUGAAGAUUCUUAAAACUGACAAAUAACAGUUUGAUAAAAGCACUCAUUUGAGAUGUGGUCUAAUGGAGAACAUGGAGAACUGUAGAGUUAUGGAUCGUGUACCUGGUUUAUUGGCAGUGGAACAGACAAAGUCAGCCUUGAGAGGCAGGCGUAGCUCCUGCAGGGUGAUGCAGCCUUUGGAGGCCAUCGGCUGUGGGGCUGCAGGCCCCUCUUUCCUUCCUCCUGGAUUUCCUUUCAGCUGGUCCAGCUCCACCUUCAGUGCUUCUCUCUUUUCGCCUGAGGCCAUCAAACGUAAACAAAGUCAUGUCUUUGGGCCAAACCAUGUCCCUCGUUAAUCUUCUAAACACCGACAUGUGGAACUCUAACAUCGACACUGGACUCUGUGAUCGUGCUAUGUGAACAACCUUGAGCUGACUAAGGAAACAUUAGAGAUGUGCUUACUUGCCACCAGCAGCAGCCUCUCUGCCUCAGCCUCCACCUGCGAGCCUUUCCCGUGUUCUUCAUCUGUGCAGCAGUUGAGUGCCUGGCUGGCUUGAUAGAUAACCGUCUGCUGCAGGUUGAUUUCAUUUGUCAGAAUCUACACAAAAGGCUGGAUGCUCGGGGCUCCUCGGCUCUCUUAGAAACGUCUUCUUUUCUCACAAUAACCUGCUUCACACUGGGCCUCUCGGUGUUCUUCACCCUGGUUGACCUGUAU